AUGGCCGUGGCUGGAUCCGACCAGUCUGCUGGCUGGAUGAUGCUGGACCGUUUCGUCUACCGCAAGGACGAGGACCACGGCGGCGGCGUCUGGCGCUUCCCGGACGAAUCUACGGCGUCCCUGAGGGCCACCUCGUCCACCUCCCUCGGCAGGCCUUUCGACGUCGCCAUCCUCCGUGCCCAGCCGCCCGCCGUCUCCCGCCUGUACGUGCGGUGGCCCGGCGGCACCAAAGGAAAAUACGGCUCCAGCACCGGCACCGCGCACCGUGACCUCAUCCUCUUCCAGCUCGUCUCCAUGGAAGGUCAUAUUACGCAUGACCACUUCGUCUGCAUAGCAUCCUCGGAUCCUGCAGCUGGGCCGCACAUCGAGCUCAAACGCCUCCCCAUCUGCACCAUACCCAUGGUCUUACCUUCGUGUUGUGAGGAACAAGACACGGAGGAAACUCCGUCUUGUGAGGAAGACACGGAGGAUGCCACUAUGCGGCGAGUGUUUUUCCCCAACACUGUAGCGCUCAUUCGCGGCCGUGAACAAGAGUUUGCCGUGGCACAGCUGGCUAUGGUCACCAAGAUACGAGGCGCCCACCGGAUGGAAGCUGAAGUGUGCGUGCUCCGCUCACGUGUGUCGGAUCCUGACGACCAUGGCAUGUGGGAGGUUCAAAAGAUACCUAUUCAGCAUCAGACUCAUGAAUACUUGGCCCUGGAUAAUUGGUUGACGGAUGCUGUCGUCACAUUCAACAACUAUAUCUGCUGGAUUUCCUACUACGCAGGAGGUAUUCUAUUCUACGAUAUAUUUGCAGAAACACCUAACAUUUUUUAUCUUCGGUUACCUACCAGAAACCGUCCUACAACGUCUCAAGAAAGAGGUUUCCUUGAGGUCAACCGUAGCCUUUGUGUCACUGGUGAUCUUCUCAAGUACACGUAUAUUCUUCGCAAUGAUGCAAGACUCUAUGGCCCACUUAAACCUCGUACGGGUUUUACCAUCCUCACUGAUACUUUGAGCAUAACGGAGACUGGUGACAUAAAUUGCUUCAACGAAAGGGUCAGGAUAGCUAAUGAAUUGUGGCAUUACAACACCUCUGAAUGUCUCCCGCGCCAAGCCCUGAUGUACCCUCUUGUGAGCAUGGACAGCUCUAAUAUUGUCCACUAUUUGAUCUCUGAGGAAGGAGAUAAGAUUGACAAGGUUUCCAUGGUUACGUUGGAUAUGAUUACUCAGAAAGUCACUUCAAUUGUUCCAUAUAUUAAAGGAGAGGAAGACCUCUUGGCCAAGAUGCUGACAUGGUUAAAGAAAAGUCACACCUUCUCACGUCCUUCCUUCCAUCCGAGUUCCCCAAGUUCUUGA
RNAcentral lists this ribosomal RNA (1338 nucleotides) under Triticum aestivum (bread wheat). RNAcentral's name for it is "partial small subunit ribosomal RNA". The record is from RNAcentral. Lineage: Eukaryota; Viridiplantae; Streptophyta; Magnoliopsida; Poales; Poaceae.